This is a non-coding RNA of Misgurnus anguillicaudatus (oriental weatherfish), 1227 nucleotides long. Lineage: Eukaryota; Metazoa; Chordata; Actinopteri; Cypriniformes; Cobitidae. The record is from RefSeq and is a predicted model, not a curated record.
AUAAAGAAAAAACAACCAAAUGUGGCACUCUCAUUUCACAAAUGAUGGACCAAUCAUUCCCACUAUGCAGACAAGAAAUUCUAAAAAACAAGGGCCUGCUAUACAGAACAUGGUUAAACGAUGGCCAGCACUUUUCACAGAGAGACAGGUGUUUGCUGAGUUUAAUAGAAUCGCCAGUAAGAAUCUUGAGGGAGACUUGAGGCUUUGGACCAGUAUUCCCCACGUUUCAUCAAACUUUUCUAAACAAAAAGGGAAACUUAAGGACUGAGUUGGCCAGAAACUCAAGGAGCUGAUGCAGCACAUGAGCUGGCUGACACCAGACGUGACAGUACUUCGCUCAUUUGUCCUCAAAGGCAUGACGACUCCAGUGAAUUCUACAAGACCUGCUCUGAUGCAGCAAGAGACAAGGCUCUAGAACGCAUCACUGUUGGUGUCCUGACGGUUGUCAGUGAAGAUAGUCCUCACGAAGCUUAGUGGUCCUCCAGCCCAUCUCCACUGCCAUCAUUCUGGAGGGAGGUAUUGUUAUGGAUAAUGUUAAGAACUUGCCUCAAGUCUUUUGUUUGGGCUUACAUAUGCAUUGCAUUUGGAUUACCCAAAAUGCAUGGCAAAUACACUCAACUUCAUUCAGACUGUGAUGCUUGGACUGGGAAAGAAAAACCUCCCAAAACGGUCUUCUGGGUUAGAACAAUAAAGAGCUGUCAGAUAGCACUUUGUAAGCUUUGCAGCUUUUAAUGUUCUCCUGUUAUUAGAGACAGUUUGAUGCUGUCAUGCAACUGUAUUUGCUUCUGAUCUUAAUAAAAAAAGAAAUUCUAUUAAAGUCUGUAAUGUUAUGCAGGUAUGCUAAUGUUGGAAACAGAGCCACCGUGUUUUAUUAAGAGUUGUUUAUUAAGUGUUAGUAUUAGAUAAUAAUGUCAGAAAAUAACCUACCACGGUUGUCCUGUUAACAUUUGUGUUUUAGGAAAGCUUUUUAUACUUGUAAUGUAGUACAAAUACAAACCCCAAGGAGUGAUGUUUUUGUUUGUGUUGCUUUAAUCCUUUCACUGCUCACUUUGGGACACAAAAGCAUUUGUUGUACUUUCAGUUUAAAAUGCAAUUUUUAACUGAAUACAUUUUUUAAAUGUAAAAAAAGUUAAAUUUUAACUGUCUACAUUUAAAUAAACCACAACUUUGUUUAGCUGCUGUUAUGUACGUGAAUGUGCAUUGAAUAAAUGAUGUAAUGUAGCUGAA